Molecule: non-coding RNA, 31 nt
Filed under: Mus musculus (house mouse)
Lineage: Eukaryota; Metazoa; Chordata; Mammalia; Rodentia; Muridae
Source: RNAcentral
UAGCUCCAAGGUUCCUUCCGAUAGAGCCUGU